Molecule: ribosomal RNA, 500 nt
Filed under: uncultured bacterium
Lineage: Bacteria
Description: bacterial SSU rRNA
Rfam family: Bacterial small subunit ribosomal RNA
Source: RNAcentral
ACCGCGUGUGCGAUGAAGGCCUUCGGGUUGUAAAGCACUUUUCGAGAGGAAGAGGAAGGACGGUACUCUCGGAAUAAGUCUCGGCUAACUACGUGCCAGCAGCCGCGGUAAAACGUAGGAGGCGAACGUUAUCCGGAUUUACUGGGCGUAAAGCGCGUGUAGGUGGUUUGGUAAGUAGGGCGUGAAAGCUCCUGGCUCAACUAGGAGAGGUCGUUCUAAACUGCCAGACUUGAGGAUGGUAGAGGGAGGUGGAAUUCCGGGUGUAGUAGUGAAAUGCGCAGAUAUUCGGAGGAACACCAGUGGCGAAAGCGGCCUCCUGGACCACACCUGACACUCAGACGCGAAAGCUAGGGUAGCAAACGGGAUUAGAGACCCCGGUAGUCCUAGCCGUAAACGAUGUAGACUUGACGUUGGUGGUUUAAUAUCCAUCAGUGUCGUAGCUAACGCGAUAAGUCUACCGCCUGGGGACUACGGCCGCAAGGUUAAAACUCAAAGGAAUU